GUUUCGAGGCAAGUUGGUGGUGUCGCUGGUAAGUAUAUGUUAAAAGCGUUGAUUUUAAUUUAAUUUCUUGUUAUUUCUUAGUUCACAGUUCGUCGAAUGACUGCAGAAUAUAUCGCCGGAAGAAUCUGCUGCCGAAAUCGUUUCUACACAGCUUGGUGACGACUGCUGACCGAACCUUACGAGCGGUCUUCAUCAGUAAACCAGUGCUGCAUGAGGCUGCGGUGCCGUUGGACGCUGGAGAACGGUGUAUGUAUGUAUAGUGGUGU
Anopheles bellator is the source of this 266-nucleotide long non-coding RNA. RefSeq lists it as uncharacterized. The transcript has 3 exons. NCBI's taxonomy places the organism in Eukaryota, Metazoa, Arthropoda, Insecta, Diptera, Culicidae. The record is from RefSeq and is a predicted model, not a curated record.